CGUAGGGUGCGAGCGUUAAUCGGAAUUACUGGGCGUAAAGCGUGCGCAGGCGGUUUUGUAAGACAGAUGUGAAAUCCCCGGGCUCAACCUGGGACCUGCAUUUGUGACUGCAAGGCUAGAGUACGGUAGAGGGGGAUGGAAUUCCGCGUGUAGCAGUGAAAUGCGUAGAUAUGCGGAGGAACACCGAUGGCGAAGGCAAUCCCCUGGACCUGUACUGACGCUCAUGCACGAAAGCGUGGGGAGCAAACAGAAUUAGAUACCCUGGUAGUCCACGCCCUAAACGAUGUCAACUGGUUGUUGGGUCUUUACUGACUCAGUAACGAAGCUAACGCGUGAAGUUGACCGCCUGGGGAGUACGGCCGCAAGGUUG
This 370-nucleotide ribosomal RNA is filed under the name uncultured organism. Its description in RNAcentral is "bacterial SSU rRNA". It matches the Rfam family "Bacterial small subunit ribosomal RNA", at positions 526 to 896 of the family's 1533-position model. The record is from RNAcentral.